This is a small nucleolar RNA of Erinaceus europaeus (western European hedgehog), 134 nucleotides long. The record is from Ensembl. NCBI's taxonomy places the organism in Eukaryota, Metazoa, Chordata, Mammalia, Eulipotyphla, Erinaceidae.
UGUCCCUGUCCUGGCUAGAGUGACACCUACUUGGCUGUGUCCAUCUCACGUCAGCCAGGAACAAAGAAAAUUCCUUGUUUAUUCCAGCUUGGCUUUGCAUCUAUACCCGUCUGGUUCAUGCCUUGGAUAUAUAU